RNAcentral lists this long non-coding RNA (760 nucleotides) under Sorghum bicolor (sorghum). Its description in RNAcentral is "long non-coding RNA (SBIC_LNC000384)". The record is from RNAcentral. Lineage: Eukaryota; Viridiplantae; Streptophyta; Magnoliopsida; Poales; Poaceae.
CAUUUAAUAUUUCAUGUAUGUGUCCAAAGAUUCGAUGGGAUGGAUGAAAAUUUUUCUUUUGGGGAACUAAACAGGGCCUAAUAGGGAACCUCCCCAUCUCAGUCAACUCCGAAACGUCCCAACGAAUGGAUCAACAAGGACGGCACACAACAAACUUGCGCGUUUUGGGGGGCGUUGUUGGGCUUGGGCAUGCAGCCGCGAACGAUCAUCUACCUUCUCGUUGUCGCCGCCAUACUGUUUCCAAACGAGAAAACAAUUUCGUUCAAGCGCCAAAUCACCCAUGCAGGAAUGAAUGAAUAUACAAUAAAUAAAUACCUUGAAACUCAUCGUGUCGUGUACCGGUCAACCAAAUCAUAAAAGGGAGAAAAAAAAAAAGAAACUGGGAAGCCAAAACGAACACCCCCAUCCAAUACUUCCACCAGGAGAGAUCGUCAAGGCCGCCACCGAAGCGAGACCCGACCGCGCGCCAUCUGAACCCAACGCGGCCCUCCCCAGCCGCAACCCGCAACCGCAUUCAGGUCCGCAACGGCCCCCGGACGCGGCACGGCGGCCGGUCGGUCCCCUGACUCAUGUGGCUGAGCCUGCGCGUCGCGCACACGCAUAUGGCACCGCCUCCGCUUCCGCCUCGCAUGCAGACACACGACAGCUAAGCUCGAGUCCAGACGCGCACGUCUCCAGCUCCAGGGGAGGACCCGGUGGCCUUGGGAGCCCAACACCAACCCCACCUGGCGGCGUGCGCGGGGGCUAUAAAAGCCGCGGC